Molecule: long non-coding RNA, 1573 nt
Filed under: Homo sapiens (human)
Lineage: Eukaryota; Metazoa; Chordata; Mammalia; Primates; Hominidae
Description: HSALNT0262050
Source: RNAcentral
GCGCCGUUAAAGACAGAGCUCAUCCUGUUAGCUGUCCCUCUCAUCCCCGCCCCUGCAACCUGAGUUUCCCAGAUUCCUUACGUCCCGCAAUGUCCGAGUUGAUGCGCUGAAAGAGCAAAGAGAUCAAAAAAAGAAAGGUGGGAGAACCGCGCCACACAUUGGUUGGGAUAUUUAGGUUUUACAGCCGUUGGCGAAGGCAAUUUAGCAAUUAUCCAACCAUAGAAGUAACGUGCAUUCGGCCGGGCACGAUGGCUCACGCCUGUAAUCCCAGCAGUUCGGGAGGCCGGAGUGGGCGGAUCACGAGGUCAGGAGUUCGAGGCCAGCCUGGCCAACAUGGUGAAACCCCAUGUCUACUAAAAACACAAAAAUGACCGGCUGCGGUGGCUCUCGCCCGUAAUCCCAACACUUUGGGAGGCCAAGGCAGGCGGAUCAGGAGGUCAGGAAUUCAAGACCAGCAUGACCAACAUGGUGAAACCCCGCCUCUACUAAAAAAUACAAAAAUUAGCCAGGCGUGGUGGUGCGCACCUGUAAUCCCAGCUACUCAGGAGGCUGAGGCAGAAGAAUCGCUUGAACCCAGGAGGCGGAAGUUGCAGUGAGCAGAGGUCGCCCCAUUGUACUCCAGCCUGGGCGACAGAGCGAGACUCUGUCCCAAAAACAAAAACAAACAAAAAAACAUACACACAAAAAUUAGCUGGGCAUGGUGGUGGGCGCCUGUAGUCCCUGCUACUCAGGAGGCUGAGGCUGAUGAAUCACUUGAACCCUAGAGGCGGAGGUUGCAGUGAGCCGAGAUUGUGCCACUGCACUCCAGCCUGAGCGACAGAGCAAGACUCCGUCUAAAAAAAAAAAAAGAAAGAAAAGAAAGAAAGAAACAACAUGCAAUCACGGUGGAGCCGCAGUACACGUGUCAGAACCACCCAAUAAUCUGCAUGUUCGCACAUCAGUGUGUUCAGCCACCUACACUCCCGGCAGCGUUUCACAGCAGGAGACAGACAAGCACAUGCGACUCUGUACAGGGGUAAACAGGAGCGAUUCAGUAACAUGCUUCAUUCAUACGCACCAGGAAAUAGGAUGCAGUGUUUCCGAGAAGGAGGUAUAGAAACAUCUUCCACACUCAUCACUGACUGGGUGAAGCAACACGAACAAUGACUCCAACAUGAACACAUUUAUAUGAAUUUUGAAGGAAGACAAAAUGCCUUAAUCAUGUAUAUGUGUAUGUGUAUAUACAAAUAGACCUAUGUAUAUGUCCAUCUAUGCAAACAUAUACGUGUGUCUACGUAGAGAUUUGUCUAUAUUUGUAUCUGUGUCUAUCUCUAUAGAUCUAUGUCUCUGUAUCUCUACAUUUAGAUAUAGAUAUGAAGAUAUAGAUCUAUAUCUGUCUAUAUAUAAGAUCUUUGUACAUGUAUCUAUAUAGAGAGAUGUAUUUAUUUAUACAGAGAUAUCAAUAUAUAAAGGAGGAUACACCUCAAACUGGUAACAAUCGUUAUGCCUGGGAUCAGCCUUGUAUCUUUGCUGGGGUAUUUAUAGCUCACUUUAUUUAACUGUUUAAACAUUUUAUCAUUAAAUUGGAUCCUGU